This 1641-nucleotide long non-coding RNA is filed under the name Equus asinus (donkey). Its description in RNAcentral is "lncRNA (ENSEASG00005033097.1)". Lineage: Eukaryota; Metazoa; Chordata; Mammalia; Perissodactyla; Equidae. The record is from RNAcentral.
CCCUAAUCUCUACUCCUCCUCUCCCCUCCUGCCCCUCCCUCCUUUUCUACCCCUCCCCCCAUCUUCUGUAUACGCUAAUCUCUACUCUUGCCUUGGCUCUUCCCCUCACCCAGCAGUUUGGCUACCACUUUUUGUGAGUUUGGCUUAUGUUCUCAGAAUCCCCUUUUCUACCUCAAGUAGCUAAUAAAACUAUUUUCUCAAACAAAGACAGUUCUCUUUCUCAGAGAAAUCCUGGAGCCAGUCAAUAAAGUUACAUAGUUUUAUUCCUGCUAUAUUAUAUUUAGCCAAGUUACUGAAAAGAGUGAAGGUAAUUUUUCAAGUUUCUUUUUCACCCUGAUUCAAAAAGAACUAACAGCACGCAUUUAACAUCAUCUAACAUCAAUACAUUACCCUUCCACAUGACCUCUAAGUUGACUCAGGUCUAAAACCUCCAUUAAACCUGUUGGAAAUUAUUUUAAAUUUUGCAGUCCCAUUGGAACAUUUAACCACACAUAUGAACUCUGAACCUUAUUUUUUAAUCUGUCAACUGUUGCAUUCAGCAAAUGAUUUAAACUAUGAUUUCAAAGAGGAGGGUUUGAAAACUAAGGACCUUCUAUACUUGUCACGUUCUAUAUGGAACUUGAGAAAGAAGGCUUAGUUUUUGCCUUUAUUCAAAAGAUCUUUCACACAACUAGUGUUGAUGUAGAUUGCCUAGUUGAAGAAUGUCAGUUUACGGUUUGUGGAGGAAAAUGAAAAUAAAUUCUGGUUUAAAAUCACUUCUUAGGAAACAGGCUGCUGCUGCCACCUGGGGGAGGUUCUUCCGCUCCCUUCAAGAAAGCCAAAUGUGCUCGUCAGACGGAUGAAUCCGUCCAUGUUUUCCUCGUCAGAUCCACACGGGAAGAAGACUUUCUAACUUUCUGCCCAUGAAGUUGUAAGGCAUUCUAGAUGUCUCCAAGAUUGCUUCACACAGAAAUACACACCGCACAGACUUUUUGAGAGGCACAGGAGAAGAUGCUUCUACAUCUUACACACUAAGAAAGUAUUUGGGAAAGUACGGGUUAUAUACUAAGAAGUGGAAAAGUCAAAUUUAAGCUUUCACUAAUAAAAUAAAACACCAAUUUUUAAGAAAAAUUUAUUUAGCCUCAAGUUAUAGUUAAUUGUACUCCUUUUCUGAAAUGUGCUAUCAUUAAUUGAUAUGGAAACUGCAUGUGCCAAUAUAAUCACGCUAGUGAUUGUAUCAGUUAGGAUAAGACAAUCACUUUCACUUACAUGGAAAUAGCCAAGAGAGGCUUUUUAGAGAAUUUCUAAAUUUAUGAACUGAAUACUGUUAUGAAGUCAACAUCUAUUUAUAGCAUGUAUAUUAUAUAUCCAUUUGUUGAAACUUUUCUUAUAGUCGUGAUAUGGUGCUCACCAAUUACAAUGGAAAACACACAGUCCCAGUCCCGGCGCGGCACAGCAACACCGCCACAGCACACAGUCCCGGUCCCGGCGUGGCACGGCGACACCGUCACAGCGCCCAGUCCCGGUCCCAGCACGGCACAGCAACACCGUCACAGUGCCCAGUCCUGGUCCCAGCGUGGCACAGCGACACCAUCACAGCACACACGCCCAGUCCCGGCAUGGCACGGCGACACCGUCACAGCACACAGUCCCGGGCACGGC